UGAAACGUAAUUGUUUUUACUUAACUAGAAUCAUCUCAUCAUGAGCUUUCGAUUGAUGUAUAAUUUGUAUUGCUUAUACUGUUGAUAUCAAUAUAUUCCGGCUGUCUACAUAUUCUGUACAACAAUCGCAAAAACAAUGAAAUAGAAAUAAUUGCUUGACUUUUGAUGAAAGUUAUUGCCUGUAAGUGACACUUUCAGUGAGACUUGGAAAAACAAUUUUAAUACAUGAUAAAAACAGUGUGGUCUACUUAUUUUCGCUGUUUUCAUUUUAAACUGACUCUCUUUUCCUGUUUUUGAAACUCUCAUUGUCUGGUGUAACAGUAGUUCAGUAGUGCAACAGUGUUGAAGCAGUCGCUAAAAGUUCAAGAUAGAUCGGAAAAAGGUUUACAUUCAGGUGAGUAGUUUCAUUUUAAUGUUAAGUUUUUAAUAGUCCCAUAGGUAGGCGUAAAUAACGAAAGUUUGAGCUUUGAGCACACGUUUUUUUAUUUAAAGCCUAGCUCCAGUCCUAGUACUAAAUUAAAUUCUAAAUUAAAUUCUACAUUCUGCCCUUAGCAAUGGAUGCAAACUGCCAUGUUUGCAGGAAUGCUGUUGGCAAAGCACAUCAAUGUAUUAAGUGCAAAAGCUUCAUUCCCAUAUUUUGCGGCAUCACAGAAGAGGAAGAAGGCUAUGGACAAAGGGCUAUUUGCAACAAAUGCAUAGAUAAUGAUGAGGAUGACGUGAAAAUAACAGAAGCAGAAAAUAAGAAAAGAGAACCUGCACCACAACCAGAAAAGAAAAGACAACUCUCUGUAUAUGAUUGUAUACCGAUAAAGAAGCCUGAAAAAAGCCUG
Rhopilema esculentum is the source of this 830-nucleotide long non-coding RNA. RefSeq lists it as uncharacterized. NCBI's taxonomy places the organism in Eukaryota, Metazoa, Cnidaria, Scyphozoa, Rhizostomeae, Rhizostomatidae. The record is from RefSeq and is a predicted model, not a curated record.